CGUAAUGAAUUCACAUGUGUCUAGCACCUUGCACUGUCUAUGGAGUUGGUGCUCAAUGAACAUCAGCUGUAAUGAUUUUCCACACGUACAGCGCUGCACACAGAGAAGUUAGUGACUGGCCCUGGUCACCCAGCUAAGAAGUGACAGAAGUUCUAUUCAACCCCAGGUGUACCUACUGAGAGAUCAGGUGCUCUUCCACCCUCAGCUUCCCACGGACAUUUACAAAGCUUCUUGCAAGUGCAAGAAUGUGGUGCUGGUGCUCUGGCAGCCAUCUUGAGACUAUGAGGUGCAACUUACCAUUGGGUAAAUCCUUGACAACGACAUCACCAAGCCACCAGACCAACACCCAGACCAGACCACCUACUCCAGACUUGUUAAAUUAGUCUGCAGGAAUUUUUCAAGAUGGCAGAUGAGAGGAUAUCGCUUUCCUGGCUGUUCUGUAGAGUGAAACCAAGAAAACAGGCAGUUUCUCAGAAAGCUCGAUUGAGGAAUGAUUGACAGAUGACAUAGAAGAUUACAACGUCUUUACAGGGACCAAGAAAGAAGCAUCGUGGGAAAUGGAAAUCCGUGUGCAGGUUGAAGUGAUGAACCUUAUAAACACAGAGCACAAGAAGGCAGACACAAGAAAACACACCGGGGACCACCAAGUUCAAAACCAAGCGAAGCACCAUCCUACCAGCUUUGGGGUACUUCUGGGGCCAGGCACAUGGAGACUUUUGGGGUGCUGUCCUCUGCAUCUCAUGGAGGUGGGUGCUGGCUGCAGGAGAGGGAUCACCUUGCAAUAAUGCAAUAAGCUGCUACAAUUUAUAUGCUUUCUUGUGGGUGUUGUACCUCAAUAAAAAAUUAAAAA
Molecule: long non-coding RNA, 850 nt
Organism: Marmota monax (woodchuck)
Lineage: Eukaryota; Metazoa; Chordata; Mammalia; Rodentia; Sciuridae
Exons: 3
Source: RefSeq, a predicted model, not a curated record